AAGGUAUUAGUUUAACAUGGAGAACACUAUUUUGCAAAAAUAGUAGUAUUACUUUAAUAUACCUUU
This 66-nucleotide transfer RNA is filed under the name Pseudochauhanea macrorchis. Its description in RNAcentral is "tRNA-Cys". Lineage: Eukaryota; Metazoa; Platyhelminthes; Monogenea; Mazocraeidea; Chauhaneidae. The record is from RNAcentral.